RNAcentral lists this ribosomal RNA (468 nucleotides) under uncultured bacterium. RNAcentral describes it as "partial 16S ribosomal RNA". It matches the Rfam family "Bacterial small subunit ribosomal RNA", at positions 28 to 507 of the family's 1533-position model. The record is from RNAcentral.
GACGAACGCUGGCGGCGUGCUUAACACAUGCAAGUCGAACGGAAAGGCCCUGCUUUUGUGGGGGGCUCGAGUGGCGAACGGGUGAGUAACACGUGAGUAACCUGCCCUUGACUUUGGGAUAACUUCAGGAAACUGGGGCUAAUACCGGAUAGGAGCUCCUGCUGCAUGGUGGGGGUUGGAAAGUUUCGGCGGUUGGGGAUGGACUCGCGGCUUAUCAGCUUGUUGGUGGGGUAGUGGCUUACCAAGGCUUUGACGGGUAGCCGGCCUGAGAGGGUGACCGGCCACAUUGGGACUGAGAUACGGCCCAGACUCCUACGGGAGGCAGCAGUGGGGAAUAUUGCCCAAUGGGCGGAAGCCUGAUGCAGCAACGCCGCGUGCGGGAUGACGGCCUUCGGGUUGUAAACCGCUUUCGCCUGUGACGAAGCGUGAGUGACGGUAAUGGGUAAAGAAGCACCGGCUAACUACGUG